RNAcentral lists this ribosomal RNA (621 nucleotides) under uncultured bacterium. RNAcentral describes it as "bacterial SSU rRNA". It matches the Rfam family "Bacterial small subunit ribosomal RNA", at positions 338 to 954 of the family's 1533-position model. The record is from RNAcentral.
CCUACGGGAGGCAGCAGUGGGGAAUUUUGGACAAUGGGCGCAAGCCUGAUCCAGCAAUGCCGCGUGCAGGAUGAAGGCCUUCGGGUUGUAAACUGCUUUUGUACGGAACGAAACGGUCCUUUCUAAUAUAAGGGGCUAAUGACGGUACCGUAAGAAUAAGCACCGGCUAACUACGUGCCAGCAGCCGCGGUAAUACGUAGGGUGCGAGCGUUAAUCGGAAUUACUGGGCGUAAAGCGUGCGCAGGCGGUUAUAUAAGACAGAUGUGAAAUCCCCGGGCUCAACCUGGGACCUGCAUUUGUGACUGUAUAGCUAGAGUACGGUAGAGGGGGAUGGAAUUCCGCGUGUAGCAGUGAAAUGCGUAGAUAUGCGGAGGAACACCGAUGGCGAAGGCAAUCCCCUGGACCUGUACUGACGCUCAUGCACGAAAGCGUGGGGAGCAAACAGGAUUAGAUACCCUGGUAGUCCACGCCCUAAACGAUGUCAACUGGUUGUUGGGUCUUCACUGACUCAGUAACGAAGCUAACGCGUGAAGUUGACCGCCUGGGGAUACGGCCGCAAGGUUGAAACUCAAAGAGUAGUCGGAGNGNGAGAGACGACGACGACGACGAGGAGGGAGGAGG